This 95-nucleotide ribosomal RNA is filed under the name Celosia argentea (silver cockscomb). RNAcentral's name for it is "partial 5.8S ribosomal RNA". It matches the Rfam family "5.8S ribosomal RNA", at positions 62 to 154 of the family's 154-position model. Rfam says of the family: 5.8S ribosomal RNA (5.8S rRNA) is a component of the large subunit of the eukaryotic ribosome. Lineage: Eukaryota; Viridiplantae; Streptophyta; Magnoliopsida; Caryophyllales; Amaranthaceae. The record is from RNAcentral.
UUGGUGUGAAUUGCAGAAUCCCGUGAACCAUCGAGUUUUUGAACGCAAGUUGCGCCCGAAGCUUCGGCCAGGGCACGUCUGCCUGGGCGUCACAC